UACGCAGGCGGUUCUGUAAGACAGAUGUGAAAUCCCCGGGCUUAACCUGGGAAUUGCAUUUGUGACUGCAGGACUAGAGUUCAUCAGAGGGGGGUGGGAAUUCCAAGUGUAGCAGUGAAAUGCGUAGAUAUUUGGAAGAACACCAAUGGCGAAGGCAGCCCCCUGGGAUGCGACUGACGCUCAUGCACGAAAGCGUGGGAGCAAACA
Molecule: ribosomal RNA, 207 nt
Filed under: uncultured bacterium
Lineage: Bacteria
Description: partial 16S ribosomal RNA
Rfam family: Bacterial small subunit ribosomal RNA
Source: RNAcentral